This 290-nucleotide ribosomal RNA is filed under the name Pleurotus dryinus. RNAcentral describes it as "partial small subunit ribosomal RNA". Lineage: Eukaryota; Fungi; Basidiomycota; Agaricomycetes; Agaricales; Pleurotaceae. The record is from RNAcentral.
UUAGUCGGUCUCGGAGCAAACGAAGUGAAGCAUGUUAUUUAAUACGAUAAUACACGUAAAACCUUACCAGACCUUGCAUAUCUAGCUUUAUUUUAAUUUUUUAUUAAAUUAGAGUGAGUAUAUUUUUAAUAAUUACCUUUAUGGUUCCCAUUCUCCUACCUCUCCGUCUUUCUUGUCCCUGUCUUAAAAGAUAGAAGGACAGGAGCCAAAGGAGGACAGGCUGGAUAGAAAUUGGAAUUAUGCAGGAGGAAAAUAAUAGCGUAGAUACAGGUGUUGCAUGGCUGUCGUCA